Molecule: ribosomal RNA, 2834 nt
Filed under: human gut metagenome
Also listed under: 1 other name
Description: bacterial LSU rRNA
Rfam family: Bacterial large subunit ribosomal RNA
Source: RNAcentral
UGAAGUAAGUAAGGGCGUACGGUGAAUGCCUUGGUGCCAACAGGCGAAGAAGGACGCGGCAAGCUGCGAAAAGCCUCGGGAAGCUGCAAGCAAGCGAUGAUCCGGGGAUAUCCGAAUGGGGUAACCUGAUCGAGGCAAUACUCGAUCGUUCAUACCUGAAUACAUAGGGUAUGAAACGCGAAACCCGCUGAAGUGAAACAUCUCAGUAAGCGGAGGAAAAGAAAGAGAAAUCGAUUCCGUAAGUAGUGGCGAGCGAAAGCGGAUGGAGCCCAAACCGAAGGUAUUCCUUCGGGGUUGUAGGACCACGUCAUAUUCGACCAUACUGGAUAGUAGAACAGCCUGGAAAGGCUGGCCGGAGAAGGUGAAAGCCCUGUAGACGAAAUCCAGAGUGGGAAUUAGUGGUAUCCUGAGUAAUACAUCACACGUGGAACGAUGUAUGAACCCGCGCGGACCACCGCGCAAGGCUAAAUACUAGUUGGCGACCGAUAGUGAACAAGUACCGCGAGGGAAAGGUGAAAAGAACCGCUGUGAGCGGAGUGAAAUAGAACCUGAAACCGUAUGUCUACAAAGUGUCAGAGCAGAGCAAUCUGCGAUGGCGUGCCUUUUGUUUAAUGAGUCUGCGAGUCAGUGUUUGUGGCAAGACUAAGGGCUUCCGGCCCGGAGUCGCAGCGAAAGCAAGUCCGAACAGGGCGCAAUAAGUCGCAGGUACUGGACCCGAAGCGGAGGUGACCUACCCUUGGCCAGGUUGAAGCAUGGGUAAAACCAUGUGGAGGACCGAACAGGUGAACGUUGAAAAGUUCUCUGAUGAGCUGAGGGUAGGAGUGAAAGGCUAAUCAAACCCCGUGAUAGCUGGUUCUCUUCGAAAUGCAUUUAGGUGCAGCGUCACGUGCUGAUGCGCGGGGGUAGAGCACUGACAAGGCUAGGGGGCACACCCGCUUACCAAACCUUAUCAAACUCCGAAUACCGUGCAAUGGAACGUGGCAGUGAGACAGUGGGGGAUAAGCUUCAUUGUCGAGAGGGAAACAACCCAGACCAGCAGCUAAGGUGCCUAAAUAACGCUCAGUGGAAAGGAUGUGGGAUUACACAGACAGUGAGGAUGUUGGCUUAGAAGCAGCCACCAUUUAAAAAAUGCGUAAUAGCUUACUCAUCGAGUGAUCCUGCGCCGAAAAUGAUUGGCGAUCAAGCGUUAUACCGAAGCUCUGGACUUUGCCGCAAGGCAGAGUGGUAGAAGAGCGUUGCAUGCGCGUCGAAGGGCGAUGGCGACUGACCCUGGAGCACAUGCAAGUGAGUAUGCAGACAUGAGUAACGUUAAGCCGGGUGAAAUCCCCGGCCGCCGUAAACCCGAGGUUUCCAGGGCAACGUGUUUCGUCCCUGGGUUAGCCGGGACCUAAGCCGAGGCCGAGAGGCGUAGGCGAUGGACAUCAGGUUAAUAAUCCUGAGCUCGCAACCCUUAAACUGGGGGGACGCAUGAGAAAAGAUGACUAGGUUAUUGAAUUCCGAGUUGAGUCUACGGACUCAGCGCAUCAUUGGAUCGAGUGCCAAGAAAAGCCCCAGCGUAUGCUAAGCGACCCGUACCGCAAACCGACACAGGUGGGUGGGUAGAAUAUACCAAGGCGUAAGAGUGAAACCUGGUUAAGGAACUCGGCAAAUUAGCCCCGUAACUUCGGAAGAAGGGGUGCCUGCAGCGAUGCAGGCCGCAGAGAAAUGGCCCAACCGACUGUUUAUCAAAAACACAGCACUCUGCAAAGACGCAAGUCGAAGUAUAGGGUGUGACACGUGACCAAUGCCGAAAGAUUAAGGCAAGGGGUUAGCCGCAAGGCGAAGCUCUAAACCCAAGUCCCGGUGAAUGUCGGCCGUAACUAUAACGGUCCUAAGGUAGCGAAAUUCCUUGUCGGGUAAGUUCCGACCUGCACGAAUCGUGAAACGAGUUGGGCACUGUCUCAACCAGGCGCUCAGUGAAAUUGUAGUGGCGGUGAAGAUGCCGCCUACCCGCAGAAGGACGGAGAGACCCUAUAGACCUUAACUGUAAGCUGUCAUUGUUUCUUCGGUUUUAAUGCUCAGAGUAAGUGGGAGACGCUGAAGACGCCCUUUAGGGGGCGUCCGAGUCAUCAAUGAGACACCACCCUUUGAAACUGGAGGAUCUAACCCUGAGCCGUGAAUCCGGCCAGAGGACCGUGUCAGCCGGUCAGUUUUACUGGGGCGGUAUCCUCCCAAAGAGUAACGGAGGAGCGCGAAGGUGGGCUCAGCCCGGUUGGCAACCGGGUGUCGAGUGCAUGGGCAUAAGCCCGCCUAACUGUGAGACCAACAAGUCGAGCAGAUGCGAAAGCAGGCCCAAGUGAUCCGGCGGUAGAAAGUGGAAUUGCCGUCGCUCAACGGAUAAAAGGUACCUUAGGGAUAACAGGCUGAUCACGCCCAAGAGUUCAUAUCGACGGCGUGGUUUGGCACCUCGAUGUCGGCUCGUCGCAUCCUGGGGCUGGAGAAGGUCCCAAGGGUCCGGCUGUUCGCCGGUUAAAGCGGCACGCGAGCUGGGUUCAGAACGUCGCGAGACAGUUCGGUCCUCUAUCCUCUGUGGGCGUUGGAAAAUUGAGGGGUUCAGACCUUAGUACGAGAGGACCGGGUCUGACGCACCACUGGUGCAUCGGUUGUACUGUCAAGUGCAUGGCCGAGUAGCUAAGUGCGGACGGGAUAAGCGCUGAAAGCAUCUAAGCGCCAAGCCCUUCCCAAGAUGAGUUUUCCCUACAGGUUCGUGGAAGACCACCACGUUGAUAGGUCGCAGGUGUAAGUGCAGCAAUGUAUUGAGCCGAGCGAUACUAAUUACCAAUUGACUUCAUCAU